Molecule: ribosomal RNA, 492 nt
Filed under: uncultured bacterium
Lineage: Bacteria
Description: partial 16S ribosomal RNA
Rfam family: Bacterial small subunit ribosomal RNA
Source: RNAcentral
AGUGAAAGCUGGCGGUAGGCCUAACACCUGUAACUCGAAUGGCCGCACAGUCCGAGUUUGCUCUUAUGGGAGGCGAGUCGCGGCCGGGUGCGGAAACCAACACACUCUACUUCUUCGACGAGGACAACGACGGGCAACUUACGCUAGUACAUCAUACGACCAACGGGUGAAGCAUGGGGCUCUUCGGACUUUGCGCGAUUCAUUGACCCGAUGUCGGAUUAACCAGUUGGCGGAGUAAAGGGCCACCAAGGCGACGAUCCGUAGCCGGUCUGUGAGGAUGAUCAGACACACUGGGACUGAGAGACAGACCAGACGCCUACGGGAGGCAGCUGUGGGGAAGAUUGGACAAUGGGCGCAAGCCUGAUCCAGCCAUACCGCGUGGGAGAAGAAGACCUUCGGGUUGUAAAGCCCUUUUGUUGGGAAAGAAAAGCAGCAGGUUAAUACCCCGCUGUUCUGACGGUACCCAAAGAAUAAGCGCCGGCUAACUUCGUG